Non-coding RNA from Pelobates cultripes (western spadefoot toad), 999 nucleotides. The record is from the annotation of a GenBank genome assembly. Lineage: Eukaryota; Metazoa; Chordata; Amphibia; Anura; Pelobatidae.
AUUAUGCAACUUGAGGGAAAACCGACUUUAGGCAAUAUGCCACAAAGCAGGAUACUUGCCACAGAACAGGUUACUUGCAAAUAUAGAAAGUCUGUGAUCUCCAUGUAGGGUUGAUACAAAGGCGGGCUGGUAACAGUGGAAGGAUGGUAACAGAGGCAAGCUGGUAAAAAUCAUAUGUAAGAGUGGAGCAGGGUUGAAGGUAAUUCUGGAGUAGGUUGGUGUGGAGCAGGGUUGAAGGUAGGUUGGUAUGGAGCAGGGUUGAAGGUAAUUCUGGAGAAGGUUGGUAUGGAGCAGGGUUGAAGGUAAUUCUGGAGAAGGUUGGUAUGGAGCAGGGUUAAAGGUAAUUCUGGAGUAGGUUGGUAUGAAGCAGGCUUGAAGGUAAUUCUGGAGCAGGUUGGUAUGGAGCAGGGUUGAGGGUAAGUCUGGAGCAGGUUCACAGGCGCUAGCAACUGAAGUCUUUCAGGCAAAUCACCAACUUCAAUGUAAAGGCACUGUUGUGAGCAGGGUGUAGCCUUGUGAUGCCUCUUCAUUAGUCCAGGCAGGUAAGGAUGAUAAGGUGACUGAGGAGAUUAGUGGCUAGGGAGGCCACUAGAGGCAAGAAACUAGUAUUACAUGAAAUAAUAACAGAAUAAAAUGAAACAUGUUCCUGGUUGUUAGGAUAGGAUCCUGACAGUCCAUUUGCCUUUAUGCAUAAUGGGUUAACUGAAUUUGAUGAUGCGUUUUACGGAAUUUCUUAUCUAUUUUAUAACUGCUAUUAGUCGCAGGACAUGUCACUUCAAAGCAUUUUCUUUGGUUUUUCCAGUCUUAUCCCAGACUUCGUGUCUAAUUUCAAUUGUAAUUCUAGAAUUGACACCUCCUAACCUUAAUUUCACCCUUUUUCUUACAAUGGGACUUUGUAAGAUUUCGUUUUAGAAAGUAAAAUUAAUUACUUGGUGUUAUCUGUCAUUGGUGUCUGGUUUUUCUUGUGUGAAAAUGUGUUUAAAAUUAUUUCUAUUCCAC